RNAcentral lists this long non-coding RNA (1205 nucleotides) under Heterocephalus glaber (naked mole-rat). Its description in RNAcentral is "lncRNA (ENSHGLG00100041311.1)". The record is from RNAcentral. Lineage: Eukaryota; Metazoa; Chordata; Mammalia; Rodentia; Bathyergidae.
AAAACUAUUAGAAAAGUUUGAAAAAAAAUCUUAGAGAGAUGUCAUAAAAUCAUAGGUUGUGUGAUUACUUGUUAAUCACAAUUAUUAAUUACAAUUUUCAACAACUGCAUUUAUGUUAUCAAUCUUAAGUUUAUGCUGAUUCUUGAAGCCUGUAGGACAGGUGUGUGUUUUCAGCAGGUAUGUGGAUUCAAAUUGCAUUUUCAGGAGCUGAGCUGAGCCAACAUAACUUUAGGUAAAGACUGUAAACAAAAAAGUCUCAUCUAUCCCUGUUUGUAGGAAACCAUCAAAAGUGCUCAAAGGACUCACUGAUAGUAAAGCCAGACCUCAGCCAUGGUCACAGCCUAUUGUUACUUUCCCUGUUACCUUCCUUUCAGGAAUAGACUUCGGAAGAGCUGUGACCUAGGAUGGAGGCUGUCAAUCAAGGGGCACUGCCUCCCCUCAGAAGGCUGGGAAGGAAAGGUUGAAAGGGUUCAAGGAAGGGCUUUGCUGAAGGCAAAGAAGAUGAAGAGAAGAGAGAGAGCUCUGAACCUCUGGGCUGGUGCAGGAGAGGGAGCCGAGCCAGUUCCCGAGCAGCCCCCAGAGAAGAGGUGUGAGAUCUCUUGUGGCUGUGACCACCUGAUCUGAGCUGUCUACUGAGUGCCUUGUCUCCCAGAAGGAGUGGAUGGGAGACGCCAACCCCGUGCUUGUCAGUCUCUCCUGAAGGUCUAACGCCGGCCACCCUGCAGUGCAGAUCACAGGUCUGCCAGUGAAAUAAUGGAAACUUUCCGGGAGCAAGAAGCUAAAAGAUUUUUGUCAAGACAAAUGCUCGGCAUAAGGAAAAUGAAGGUAAAUUAACUAACACCAGAGACCACAGCUGCUAGGUCAAUGUAGGAUGAGCUGUAAGAAACAAGUGACAUCGUGAAGCCCUGGUACUGGACAAGAAGUUAAUGUUUAUAUUGAGAACAGCUGGACUAGAAAUUCUUUGAGGCCAGAGGCUGUGGUUUGCGUUUCCCCUGAAUCUCCUACAGCUUCCAACACAAUGCUGAACAUAGAAAAAAAUCAGAAUUCUCACAGAGCCAGAUCCAGGUAAAAAGGUGGAAGAGGACACAUUGUGUUUCUAUUUGAUGAAAAUUGCCGUAAAUAUUUUGAAUGGAUUCAGAGCAUUGAGGAAACCAUGAAAAGACACUUGCAAAAGAGAACUUCCAGAGCUGCUUCAGAGACUGGCG